AACGAACGCUGGCGGCAGGCCUAACACAUGCAAGUCGAGCGCUCUAGCAAUAGAGAGCGGCGCACGGGUGAGUAACGCGUAGGAAUCUACCUUGUAGUACGGAACAACAGUUGGAAACGACUGCUAAUACCGUAUACGCCCUUCGGGGGAAAGAAUUUCGCUAUAAGAUGAGCCUGCGUUAGAUUAGCUAGUUGGUGAGGUAAUGGCUCACCAAGGCUCCGAUCUAUAGCUGGUCUGAGAGGAUGAUCAGCCACACAGGGACUGAGACACGGCCCAGACUCCUACGGGAGGCUGCAGUGGGGAAUAUUGGGCAAUGGGCGCAAGCCUGACCCAGCCAUGCCGCGUGAGUGAUGACGGCCUUAGGGUUGUAAAGCUCUUUCAGUAGGGAAGAUAAUGACGGUACCUACAGAAGAAGCCCCGGCUAACUUCGUGCCAGCCGCCGCCGUAA
Molecule: ribosomal RNA, 448 nt
Filed under: uncultured bacterium
Lineage: Bacteria
Description: partial 16S ribosomal RNA
Rfam family: Bacterial small subunit ribosomal RNA
Source: RNAcentral